This 253-nucleotide ribosomal RNA is filed under the name uncultured bacterium. Its description in RNAcentral is "partial 16S ribosomal RNA". It matches the Rfam family "Bacterial small subunit ribosomal RNA", at positions 524 to 776 of the family's 1533-position model. The record is from RNAcentral.
UACAGAGACUGCAAGCGUUAUUCGGAUUCACUGGGCGUAAAGGGUGCGCAGGCGGCCAAGUGUGUUAGGCGUGAAAGCCCGGGGCUUAACCCCGGAAUUGCACCUAAAACUACAUGGCUAGAGCAUUGGAGAGGGUAGCAGAAUUCACGGUGUAGCAGUGAAAUGCGUAGAUAUCGUGAGGAAUACCAGAGGCGAAGGCGGCUACCUGGACAAUUGCUGACGCUCAGGCACAAAAGCGUGGGGAGCAAAAGGG